GAUGAACGCUGGCGGCGUGCCUAAUACAUGCAAGUCGAGCGAACAGACGAGGAGCUUGCUCCUCUGACGUUACCGGCGGACGGGUGAGUAACACGUGGAUAACCUACCUAUAAGACUGGGAUAACUUCGGGAAACCGGAGCUAAUACCGGAUAAUAUAUUGAACCGCAUGGUUCAAUAGAGAAAGACGGAUUUGCUGUCACUUAUAGAUGGAUCCGCGCCGCAUUAGCUAGUUGGUAAGGUAACGGCUUACCAAGGCAACGAUGCGUAGCCGACCUGUGAGAGGGAUCGGCCACACUGGACCGAAAACACGUUCCAGACUCCUACGGAAGGCAGCAGUGGGGAAUCUGCCGCAAGGGGCGAAAGCCGGACGGAGCAACGCGGCGGGGGUGAUGAAGUUCUUCGAAUCGUAAAACUCUGUAAUUGGGAAAAAACAAAUGUGGAAGUAACCAUGCACGUCUUGACGGAACCUAAGCAGAAAGCCACGGCUAACUACGU
Molecule: ribosomal RNA, 496 nt
Filed under: uncultured bacterium
Lineage: Bacteria
Description: partial 16S ribosomal RNA
Rfam family: Bacterial small subunit ribosomal RNA
Source: RNAcentral